RNAcentral lists this ribosomal RNA (253 nucleotides) under uncultured bacterium. Its description in RNAcentral is "partial 16S ribosomal RNA". It matches the Rfam family "Bacterial small subunit ribosomal RNA", at positions 524 to 776 of the family's 1533-position model. The record is from RNAcentral.
UACGGAGGGUGCAAGCGUUAUCCGGAUUCACUGGGUUUAAAGGGUGCGUAGGAGGGCAGGUAAGUCAGUGGUGAAAUCUCCAAGCUUAACUUGGAAACUGCCGUUGAUACUAUCUGUCUUGAAUAUUGUGGAGGUGAGCGGAAUAUGUCAUGUAGCGGUGAAGUGCUUAGAUAUGACAUAGAACACCAAUUGCGAAGGCAGCUCACUACACAAUCAUUGACUCUGAGGCACGAAAGCGUGGGGAUCAAACAGG